Molecule: ribosomal RNA, 254 nt
Filed under: uncultured bacterium
Lineage: Bacteria
Description: partial 16S ribosomal RNA
Rfam family: Bacterial small subunit ribosomal RNA
Source: RNAcentral
UACGGGGGGAGCAAGCGUUGUUCGGCUUUACUGGGCGUAAAGGGUGCGUAGGCGGUCAGCACAAGUCAGUUGUGAAAUCUCCGGGCUUAACUCGGAAAGGUCAACUGAUACUGUGCGACUAGAGUGCGGAAGGGGCAACUGGAAUUCUCGGUGUAGCGGUGAAAUGCGUAGAUAUCGAGAGGAACACCUGCGGCGAAGGCGGGUUGCUGGGCCGGCACUGACGCUGAUGCGCGAAAGCCAGGGGAGCGAACGGG